GCCUCGUUAGCGUAGUUGGAUUAUCGCAUCUGUCUAAUACACAGCGCCUCAGAAUAUUCUGAGUAAUUGAAUUCACAACAGAAGGUCACUGGUUCGAGCCCAGUACGGGGCA
Molecule: non-coding RNA, 112 nt
Organism: Melanopsichium pennsylvanicum
Lineage: Eukaryota; Fungi; Basidiomycota; Ustilaginomycetes; Ustilaginales
Source: the annotation of a GenBank genome assembly